CUUGAAGUCACCUGACUUUCUCUCACAAAAGGUUGGGCCUUCCAGCUCAAAGCCCUUUGUUCCUGAGCCUCUUUUUCCAGGAAGCUGGUCUUGAGAAAAACACCUGCUUUAGGGACAGGAGCUACUCACCGUAAAAGUCACUUGGAGGCCUGACUGCAUGGGGUGCAGCGUCCUUGUGAAGAGUCCUCAGAUGGCUCUAGAGCUGGCAGUGCUGCUUUUCAGUAUUCAGGUAUACUUUGCUAUUUGCUUUUUUUGUGUGAUAUUUUUAUCUACCCCAAUACCAGCAUUUCUGUGGAUGUAAUACUAUUAAUUCCGACAUCGGGCCACCACUCUGUUGACCCUUCUUGGCUCUGUCUCCAAUCCCUUCACCGGUCCCUCAAUCAUGCCUGAUAUUUUUCUAGUUCCUCUUUAUCCCUCAGCUCUGACAACUUCCCAACCCCCUCACAUCUACCACGGCCCCCACAGAGAAGAGAAAAGAAAAAAGCCCACAGACGCCCAGCCGAGGAUUCCUCUGGGCGAGGGGAGGCAUCAGAACAUGCUGAGAGCCAGAAGAUGUCCCAGAUUGGCAAGAGAGAAAUGGAAAUGACUUCAGUUUGGCCCCUGGCCCGAUGGGAGUUGCUGCCCAGAGGUAGUGCCCCUGAGCGCUGCGCUGCACUGGGGGAAGCCACACAGAGCUGGGUAGAGAAACCCUCUGGGCAGUGCCAGUAGCAGCUCCCACGGGUUCCCUGGAUGGAGAGACUGAAGGCAAAGGAAACAGUAAAGUCUGGAGGGACAAGGGAGAUGUUUUGUAAUAUUUACAUUUUUUUUUCUGAUUUUAUGAAUUCUGUACACUUCAAAUAAUAUAAAAUGCCAGUUCUAACACUGGAGUUUCUGUAUUCCCCCAAAUAAAAAUGACAUUAUUAGACUUGUCCUCUUGUUCCACCAUUGCAAUCCCUCCAUCACCACAGCCUUGAAGAGCUGGGAUGCCCUGGGCAAUCAGCACACUGAGACCAGGGUGUCUGCCUCCCUCAGGUGCCUAUGGACCAGAAGGCGAAACCAACUGGGCCUGGCUCCUGGAAAGCGAGAGAACCAGGGGACCACAACAACAAGCCCGGGCUCCGUGCAGGGGAGGAGCGUUUCUGGCACAGAGACACCUGUGCCUGCACUCAGAAAGAUUAAUAAGAGUUCUGGAGUGGAAGAAUGAGGAUGGAAAAGCUGACUUGGAAUGGAAAACUCAACUGGUAGGAGGCCCUUCCAUGACCCUCUGGCCAAAGUACUGCUACAUUAUUUUAACUCUGUGUGACCAAGGGUUUGCGCCGUCAGAAGAUCCAGAAACUGUACGUCACCAACACUGCACAGAGCUCAGUGACAGUUACCCAAGGAGAAACUGCAGCUGAGUGACAGACCUACACUGCAGAUUCCCCGUGUGUCACCUUCAGGUUUUCUUUUUCACA
RNAcentral lists this long non-coding RNA (1433 nucleotides) under Equus caballus (horse). RNAcentral's name for it is "lncRNA (ENSECAG00000055752.1)". Lineage: Eukaryota; Metazoa; Chordata; Mammalia; Perissodactyla; Equidae. The record is from RNAcentral.